RNAcentral lists this ribosomal RNA (403 nucleotides) under uncultured Eubacteriales bacterium. Its description in RNAcentral is "uncultured Clostridiales bacterium partial 16S ribosomal RNA". It matches the Rfam family "Bacterial small subunit ribosomal RNA", at positions 355 to 774 of the family's 1533-position model. The record is from RNAcentral. Lineage: Bacteria; Bacillati; Bacillota; Clostridia; Eubacteriales.
UGGGGAAUAUUGCACAAUGGGCGAAAGCCUGAUGCAGCGACGCCGCGUGAAGGAUGAAGGUCUUCGGAUUGUAAACUUCUAUCAGCAGGGAAGAAGAAUGACGGUACCUGACUAAGAAGCCCCGGCUAACUACGUGCCAGCAGCCGCGGUAAUACGUAGGGGGCAAGCGUUAUCCGGAUUUACUGGGUGUAAAGGGUGCGUAGGCGGCUUGGCAAGUCGGAUGUGAAACCUCAGGGCUCAACCCUGAGCAUGCAUCCGAAACUGCUAAGCUAGAGUGCAGGAGAGGAAAGCGGAAUUCCGAGUGUAGCGGUGAAAUGCGUAGAUAUUCGGAGGAACACCAGUAGCGAAGGCGGCUUUCUGGACUGUAACUGACGCUGAGGCACGAAAGCGUGGGGAGCGAACA